GAUGAAGAACGCAGCGAAAUGCGAUACUUGGUGUGAAUUGCAGAAUCCCGUGAACCAUCGAGUCUUUCAACGCAAGUUGCGCCCGAAGCCACUAGGCCGAGGGCACGCCUGCCUGGGCGUCACACGCCGUUGCCCCCCCAUCUACUCCUUCGGGAUUGCGGGGGGGCGGAUGAUGGCCUCCCGUGCGCCUAGCCGCGCGGUUGGCAUAAAUACCAAGUCCUCGGCGACGCACGCCACGACAAUCGGUGGUUGCGAAACCUCGGUUGCCCGUCGUGUGCGUUCGUCGCGCAUCGAGGGCUCGAAAAAAUGCUCGGCUCCAGCUGGGCUUUCAACGCGACCCCAGGUCAGGCGGGGGUUACCCGCUGAAUUUAAGCAUAUCAAUAAGCGGAGGA
RNAcentral lists this unclassified non-coding RNA (392 nucleotides) under soil metagenome. Its description in RNAcentral is "partial contains 5.8S ribosomal RNA, internal transcribed spacer 2, and large subunit ribosomal RNA". The stretch from base 1 to 122 matches the Rfam family "5.8S ribosomal RNA", at positions 35 to 154 of the family's 154-position model. The record is from RNAcentral.